AAAUGUUCUUAUUUUUUACAGCACUGCUUCAGCGGUUUCAUUUGCAUUUUCCACAUGAAUUAGUUCCAAAUCUGAAGCCCAGGUUAGGCAUGACACUGCAGCCCCAGCCCUACCUCAUCUGUGCUAAAAGACGAUGAAAGUUCAUGGAUAUUCUGGUCAGCUACAGUGUAUGUUUGCUUCAUAUUUGAACUUCGUUUAAUCAAUGUGUGCGUCUGGACAAAAAUCACAGCAUCAUGAAGCUAAAUGAACACAGACGAAAGUCGGAGGUUCGAAGACGAUCAGAUACCAUCGUAGUUCCGACCAUAAAUGAUGCCGACUGGCGAUGCGGUGUUAUUCCCAUGACCCGCCGGGCAGCUUCCAGGAAACCAAAGUCUUUGGGUU
This 381-nucleotide non-coding RNA is filed under the name Oryctolagus cuniculus (rabbit). RNAcentral describes it as "Eukaryotic small subunit ribosomal RNA". It matches the Rfam family "Eukaryotic small subunit ribosomal RNA", at positions 636 to 1113 of the family's 1831-position model. The record is from Rfam by way of RNAcentral. Lineage: Eukaryota; Metazoa; Chordata; Mammalia; Lagomorpha; Leporidae.